This 971-nucleotide long non-coding RNA is filed under the name Durio zibethinus. RNAcentral's name for it is "long non-coding RNA (DZIB_LNC000717)". Lineage: Eukaryota; Viridiplantae; Streptophyta; Magnoliopsida; Malvales; Malvaceae. The record is from RNAcentral.
GACAGAUGAUCCUAUCUCAUCUUUUUCUUUUCCCCUCCACAUUCAUUCCCAACGAUAAGCAGUCUGUUUCCCUAUGUCUCUUUUUCCUAAAAAAAGCGUUUGAUAAUUGGCAAUAAAGGAGAAGAGAGAAAAAGUAGAGUGAUAGGGUGAAAAGGAAAAGAGUAUGUUAUCUCAGGCCAAACAAAUGCCAGAGCCACCGUCAUUUGCCAAUUUUUUUAGGUUUGAUUUUUUUUUUUUACUUUUUGAUCAAAAUUUUUUUUUAUAUCUAGAAUGUUUGAGAUCGUUUACGGUAAUACCAGAUUUGAUUUUUUUUAUUUUAAAAAAUUAUCAGAUCUGGUUUUUUUUUUUUUAAAUUUCGAUUUUCCCUUUCCCUUUGUUUGGUUUUGAUUCUUUCACCUAUCUUUGUCCCUGUUGGUAGUUGUUGGUUUUGAAAGAAACUUUUUUCUUUCCCUUGCCACACUUGAAGAUAGUGGGGAGGUAGAGCAUUGUGGCCAUAGGUGUGCUUCUUUGGAUGUGGAAAGUAGGCGGGAUUUUUAAUCUAAAAUAUUUUCAACUAUGGUUCUCUGACAACUAAUAUUUUUAUGCUAUUUUUUAAAAAAAUUUUGUGGAUGUAUAUGCUUCGUUCUUCCUUCCGUUCUCUCUUUCAGUUUGUAUUUUAAUUAAAUACAAAUAUGUUGAUAUGCCUUAGAAAUUAAUUUAAACAUCUCAUGCAUAUUUUUAUAUUUAAUUUUUAGUUUAUUUUAAUGAAAUAAUUUAUAAUUUUUAUGUGCAAAUGUAUUUAUGUAUGUUAUCUGAUUAAUAUUGAUUAUAAAAUUUUACCAACUUUUCUAAUUGGUAACAAGUUGUUACCAAUAAUAUGUAUGAUCUCAAAUACCAUAAUGAAUAGCUAUGGUACACCAGGGAAUGUGCUUAAACUAAUUAGUUUUGCAUGGGAUUAUUAAUUUUUAAAUUUUAAUUAUUUAAAUACUAAA